CCCUCCCAGGGCCCCUGAUGGACCCUGCGGCUGGUGCCAGUGGAGUCACCUUCCAGCCUGGCAGGGCGCUUCAGCUCCUUGCUCUGUUGACUCUCAAGUAAAGCCUUUCUUGUGUUUACUGAGCAAAGAUUCUUUUAAGACAGGCUAAGCACACGGUUUACUCUGCUAACAAGCCUUGGCAUUUAUUGUGAGGACCUGUGUUGACUUAUUCUCGAAUCUCCAUUGACAUUCACUGAGAAACGUUAACGCAAACACAAGGAGACAUCCUGGGAGCUCUGAGGCCCGACGUUGUGCUGGGGAAGGCGCUCCAGAAAGGGCCAUCCUUUCUGUUUUGGUUAGAAUCACCUUGAGAGUUAAAAAUAACAAUAAUAUAGGCACCAUAAGAGAUUCUAAUGAUCUCCUUUUAGUUUUUUGGUUCAGUAUCUGAACACUUUUGCUAAAGGUCUCUGGAAAGCUUCCUGUAUUAAUUCUGGAUGAGACUAUGUCUGUGCCAGCCACUUCCUGAGCCUUCUUCCAUGUGCAUAGGCCUGCUGCGUGCUGGAGACCCACGGCACAGCCGCCAAGUGCCCCUGUGUAGCUCUGUGAUCUUGGGACAGUCACUUCCUCCCUCUGGUUGUCAGUCUUCUCAUCCCCAAGGUGAGGAGACGCUGUCUCCACGCUCAUCUCCCCAGCCAGACCCGGGCCUCAGGCCUGAGCCCAGGGCCUAAGAGCCCUAAGAAAUGUUUGCUGAAUAAAUGAAUGAAUAAGCCGCAUUAGCCAGUCUCUCUAGGCUUGCUCUGACAUCUUGCGCCUGAAUCCUCCCCCAUUGCAGGCUCUGCUUUGAGUCAUAGUCUGACAAGAUCUGCUAAUGGGGUCACUGCAGACAACCACAGAACCUCAGCAUCUGACUCAUACGCGGUGGCUGCCAAGUGGUUUCACCUGCCUCUGCCUCUCUCCUCCCUGCCUCUCAUCCAAGCUGAUGCUUGUAAAGGAAACAGCUUUCAGGAAACAGAGGCUCAGGGAAGUGAAGUCACUCAACCAAGUGUCACACCACCGACAUGGGCACAAAACCACCCACCUCCCAGGCUGACAUGAGGAUUAAUUAAGGUCAUGCACAUAAAAGUACUAAACAUCUGUGAAUUCUCUCUCCUCCCCCACUUUUAUUAAAAGUCCUUGAACUAUAGGUUUUUGGCUAAAGUCAGCCUGGUAGCCCUUUGCUGCCUUUGCUCGGAACACUCACCUUUGCCUCAAGUUCUGCGUCAGGUGUCAUUUUCAUCCCAGCAUCUUCAUUUUAGUCACAACAGCCUUUUAUUUAGCACCUACUGUGUGCCAGGCACUGGACACUCAUCCUCUCUUCUUCACACCAGCUCUGCAAACUAAACUUUAUGACUCCCAUUUUGUUGCUGAAGAGAAUGAAGCUCCACAGGUAGUAAGCAGUGCAGCUGGAGUGAGGAGCAAAGCUCUUGCUCUAUUUUCUAAGCCACUUGCCUCCUCUCCUGUGUUCCUCUCCACUGCCUACUCCAAGCCCAGAGUGCUACAUGGCUUGACUUUUACACAAUGGAAUAUUUAUUUAUUGAACUCUUACUCUGUGUGGGGCAGGGUCCUUCCCAGCACAGGACCGAGGGAGAGGACAGCCUCACUGUUGCCUUCAGGUUGCUCAGAGAGUAGCAGGGAGAUAGAUGAGUAGUAAGGAGUUUUGGAGGAAUGGGGCAAGUGCGGAUUAGCAGGAGGGAUGCAGUGCUAUGGGGCACCUGUUUCUGUCUGGGAGGCAGGGAGUCUAGAAUGUGAGCCAUCCAAAUGGGAUUUAUCAAUAUCCUCUCAGUGCUUUGUGUGCAUUUGUGUGUGCAUGCAAGUGUAAAGUGAUGGUGAUAAAGAUUAAUGAGACAUCGUUGCUACCUCAACUUAUGGUUAUGGUUGUGCAGUGCCCCCAGCCAUCUCCCUCCAUCUCGAAUGUCAAUUUUCACAUCUUUAAAAUGGAAGUUUUGACACAAGCAUAGGUCUACAGACUGGAACUUGUUGAUGGCAAUUUGGCAUUUUUUAAAAUCCAUAGGCAAAAAAUGUUUAUGAUGGAAGUGCUUACUUCUGACACAUUAAUUUGAGAAACCGACUUAAAAAUAUGCAUAUGGUUUCAACUUUUUACUAUGGAAUUUUAAAUAUAUAGAUAAAAUAGAAUAAGAUCAUGAAGCCCUAUGUACCCAGAACCUGGCUUCCUUAGUUAUCCACAUUAUGCCAUUCUUGAAGAAGUGGAAUCUUGAUUAGUUAAAUAAAUGGAUAUUUUGCAAAACAUUGAAUGUAAUUCGUGUAAUGCCUAUUGUUGUUUUUCUCUGAUUAAAGAACUAGAAAAGAUUUAAAACUAUUUACGAUGUUUGUUGUAGAAGCUAAUAUAGACAUGCAUCUGUUAUCUGUCUACAGUAACUUUAAAGGUGCAUGGUGGAGAAUUCAGAUUCUUUGGCUAGAGGGAAUCUGGCUAGGGAAACACCCCACUAGUCUGUCUCUUGAAGACCUAACAUUCUGUGGUUCUCUUAUCUGUAGAGAGAAAAAGCCCAUUUAUAACUUUUCUAGUCUGGUUUUAAAUGUAGUGGCAAAGAUUCAGGAAUGUGUUUGCUUGGAACUCGUAACCCUUGGAGAUUCACUUAGAAAACAAGGACUCGUUGUCUCCUGUUCUGACUCCCAGGACACAUUUUAAUGAAAUGCCCUCAAACCCAAAUUGGCUUCAGUCUAACUCACAGCAACCGCAGUACGCUGGGGAAAAAGCAGAAACCGGGCGGGGGGGGGGGGGGGGGCGC
Chlorocebus sabaeus (green monkey) is the source of this 2765-nucleotide non-coding RNA. NCBI's taxonomy places the organism in Eukaryota, Metazoa, Chordata, Mammalia, Primates, Cercopithecidae. The record is from RefSeq and is a predicted model, not a curated record.